This 386-nucleotide long non-coding RNA is filed under the name Homo sapiens (human). Its description in RNAcentral is "non-protein coding lnc-ETAA1-4:3". Lineage: Eukaryota; Metazoa; Chordata; Mammalia; Primates; Hominidae. The record is from RNAcentral.
CCCCGUGAAAGCUGCAGCUCUGAGAGUGUGUGGGCAGGGCUUCAACAGAAUACCUGUGGCUGCACUUACAAAAGGCAGCCAGAAGGACCCGUCCAUUCUGGAAAGUACCUUUAGUCUGAAAGGUACAAAUCAGAACUUUCACCACAUUCCAUCUGGCACUCACUGGUGGUGCCAACACCUCAAAAACCCUGCCGGGGCCAUUUGUCACCAUGUGGACACAGACAGACCACCAGUGAAAGUGGAAUUUUUGAAUGAGCUUGAAUGACCUGCCUAUAUGUGUAGACAGCCAUGGUCACUUUUUCUCCGUAGGAUUAGAUGUGCUGAUUCUAAUGUGGUUCACAUUAGGCUAUUUUCUUUUAAAAGUGAAAUUUCUUUUGGAAGCCUGG